Molecule: non-coding RNA, 71 nt
Organism: Gymnothorax javanicus (giant moray)
Lineage: Eukaryota; Metazoa; Chordata; Actinopteri; Anguilliformes; Muraenidae
Source: the annotation of a GenBank genome assembly
UCUGAAUGGCUCACUUGGUGAAAGCACUGCAUUGCGGAGCAGAAGUGUCUGGGUUCGAGCCCCAGUCAGAG